CUCAGUCAUGUUGACACUGGUCUACUAACAGGUCAUGUGUCUCCUCAGUCAUGUUGACACUGGUCUACUACCAGGUCAUGUGUCUCCUCAGUCAUGUUGACACUGGUCUACUACCAGGUCAUGUGUCUCCUCAGUCAUGUUGACACUGGUCUACUACCAGGUCAUGUGUCUCCUCAGUCAUGUUGACACUGGUCUACUACCAGGUCAUGUGUCUUCUCAGUCAUGUUGACACUGGUCUACUACCAGGUCAUGUGUCUCCUCAGUCAUGUUGACACUGGUCUACUACCAGGUCAUGUGUCUCCUCAGUCAGGUUGACACUGGUCUACUACCAGGUCAUGUGUCUCCUCAGUCAUGUUGACACUGGUCUACUACCAGGUCAUGUGUCUCCUCAGUCAUGUUGACACUGGUCUACUACCAGGUCAUGUGUCUCCUCAGUCAUGUUGACACUGGUCUACUACCAGGUCAUGUGUCUCCUCAGUCAUGUUGACACUGGUCUACUACCAGGUCAUGUGUCUCCUCAGUCAGGUUGACACUGGUCUACUACCAGGUCAUGUGUCUCCUCAGUCAUGUUGACACUGGUCUACUACCAGGUCAUGUGUCUCCUCAGUCAGGUUGACACUGGUCUACUACCAGGUCAUGUGUCUCCUCAGUCAUGUUGACACUGGUCUACUACCAGGUCAUGUGUCUUCUCAGUCAUGUUGACACUGGUCUACUACCAGGUCAUGUGUCUUCUCAGUCAUGUUGACACUGGUCUACUACCAGGUCAUGUGUCUUCUCA
Molecule: long non-coding RNA, 778 nt
Organism: Oncorhynchus keta (chum salmon)
Lineage: Eukaryota; Metazoa; Chordata; Actinopteri; Salmoniformes; Salmonidae
Exons: 5
Source: RefSeq, a predicted model, not a curated record